RNAcentral lists this ribosomal RNA (450 nucleotides) under uncultured bacterium. RNAcentral's name for it is "partial 16S ribosomal RNA". It matches the Rfam family "Bacterial small subunit ribosomal RNA", at positions 354 to 796 of the family's 1533-position model. The record is from RNAcentral.
GUGGGGAAUCUUCCACAAUGGACGAAAGUCUGAUGGAGCAACGCCGCGUGAGUGAAGAAGGGUUUCGGCUCGUAAAGCUCUGUUGUCGGGGACGAAUGUGCAGUAUUUGAAUAUAGUACUGCAAUGACGGUACCUGACGAGGAAGCCACGGCUAACUACGUGCCAGCAGCCGCGGUAAUACGUAGGUGGCAAGCGUUGUCCGGAAUUAUUGGGCGUAAAGGGAGCGCAGGCGGGAAGGUAAGUCGGUCUUAAAAGUGCGGGGCUCAACCCCGUGAUGGGAUCGAAACUAUCUUUCUUGAGUGCAGGAGAGGAAAGUGGAAUUCCAAGUGUAGCGGUGAAAUGCGUAGAGAUUUGGAAGAACACCAGUGGCGAAGGCGACUUUCUGGACGAUGUCUGACGCUGAGGCGCGAAAGCUAGGGGAGCGAACGGGAUUAGAUACCCUUGUAGUCC